This 245-nucleotide long non-coding RNA is filed under the name Elaeis guineensis (African oil palm). RNAcentral's name for it is "long non-coding RNA (EGUI_LNC011410)". The record is from RNAcentral. Lineage: Eukaryota; Viridiplantae; Streptophyta; Magnoliopsida; Arecales; Arecaceae.
CGUCCCCUUCUUUAUGAUUUCCGACCAUUGACCGAUCACCGGUGGCCAAGUGCUCAAGGAAAGAGAGAGAGAUGAGGGUCCGGUCUCGGGGAUGAGAUGCCAAAAUCGAUGGCGUCGGUGGUCGGAAAAGAGAGAAACAUGGCCGGUCGAACAGGGGUUUCAUGCUUCAUAGGUUUUCUGGUGAUCCCGAUGGCCGGCGAGGGGUCUAAAAUCAAGGGGAGAAAGAAAAGAGGGAGAGGAAGGAA